Molecule: long non-coding RNA, 679 nt
Filed under: Anser cygnoides (Swan goose)
Lineage: Eukaryota; Metazoa; Chordata; Aves; Anseriformes; Anatidae
Description: lncRNA (ENSACDG00005016690.1)
Source: RNAcentral
GGCGGGACUGCCUGUUUGUUGCUGUCCAUAGGGGCGGGACUUCCUGCUUUACCCUGGCGGCGGAGGCGGGACUUCCUGCUCUGCUGCCGGUGGGGGGGCGGGACUUCCUGCCUGGCUCUGCCUACAGAGGCGGGACUUCCUGUUCUGCUCUAAGGGGGAAGGGAACGACUUCCUGUUUGCUAUGGGGGCGGGACUUCCUGUUCGUUAUGGGGGCGGGACUUCCUGCUUCCACUCCGACCCCGCCCACCCCCAGGGAAGGGCCCCAGGGCGCUGUGGGGCUGGGAGCUAUGGGGCGCUGUGGGGCGCUGUGGGGUGCUGUGGGGCACCAUGGGGCUCUAUGGGACUCUAUGGGGCGCUGUGGGGCGCUGUGGGGCAAGGCACUGUGGGGUGCUGUGGGGUGUUAUGGGGCGCUAUGGGGCACUGUAGGGUGCUGUGGGGCUGGAUGCUGUGGGGCUGGGAGCUAUGGGGCGCUGUGGGGCACUGUGGGGCGUUACGGGGUGCUAUGGGGCGCUGUGGGGCGUUACGGGCGCUAUGGGGCGCUGUGGGGCACCACAAGUGCCAUGGGGCUGGGGGUGUAGGGGUCAGGGUGCUGUGGGCGCUAUGGGGCUGGGCCCUAUAUCGGGGCAAUCGCACGGCACCCCCAGGUACUUGGGGGUGCUGGGAGAGGGAGGGGGGCACC